GAUGAACGCUGGCGGCGUGCCUAAUACAUGCAAGUCGAGCGAACAGACGAGGAGCUUGCUCCUCUGACGUUAGCGGCGGACGGGUGAGUAACACGUGGAUAACCUACCUAUAAGACUGGGAUAACUUCGGGAAACCGGAGCUAAUACCGGAUAAUAUAUUGAACCGCAUGGUUCAAUAGUGAAAGACGGUUUUGCUGUCACUUAUAGAUGGAUCCGCGCCGCAUUAGCUAGUUGGUAAGGUAACGGCUUACCAAGGCGACGAUGCGUAGCCGACCUGGGAGGGGGGACCGGCCCAACGGAACUGAGACACGGUCCCAACUCCCACGGGGGGCAACAGGAGGGAAAUCUCCCCAAAGGGCGAAAACCCGGAGGAGGAAACGCCGCGGAAUGAUGAAAGGUUUCCGGAUCUAAAACCUCGUUUAUAGGGAAAAAAAAAAGUGUUAAUAAACAAGCACCUCUUGAACGUAACCAAAUCAAAAACCCCCGCUAAACACCUG
Molecule: ribosomal RNA, 497 nt
Filed under: uncultured bacterium
Lineage: Bacteria
Description: partial 16S ribosomal RNA
Rfam family: Bacterial small subunit ribosomal RNA
Source: RNAcentral